RNAcentral lists this ribosomal RNA (397 nucleotides) under uncultured bacterium. RNAcentral describes it as "partial 16S ribosomal RNA". It matches the Rfam family "Bacterial small subunit ribosomal RNA", at positions 523 to 918 of the family's 1533-position model. The record is from RNAcentral.
AUACGUAGGGGGCGAGCGUUGUCCGGAAUGAUUGGGCGUAAAGGGUGCGGAGGCGGCGCGGUAAGUCGGGAGUGAACGUCAUGCUUUCAAGGUGGGAAUUGCUUUGGAUACUGCCGCGUUUGAGUGCAGGAGAGGUUAUCGGAAUUCCCGGUGUAGCGGUGAAAGGCGUAGAGAUCGGGAGGAAAAACAGUGGCGAAGGCGGGUAACUGGACUACAACUGACGCUGAGGCGCGAAAGUGUGGGGAGCAAACAGGAUUAGAUACCCUGGUAGUCCACACUGUAAACGAUGAAUGCUAGGUGUAAGAGGUAUCGACCCCUUUUGUGCCGGAGUCAACACAAUAAGCAUUCCGCCUGGGGAGUACGGCCGCAAGGUUGAAACUCAAAGGAAUUGACGGGG